This 259-nucleotide ribosomal RNA is filed under the name uncultured bacterium. RNAcentral describes it as "partial 16S ribosomal RNA". The record is from RNAcentral.
CUGCUGCCUCCCGUAGGAGUUUGGGCCGUGUCUCAGUCCCAAUGUGGCCGUUCACCCUCUCAGGCCGGCUACUGAUCGUCGCUUUGGUAGGCCGUUACCCUGCCAACUGGCUAAUCAGACGCGGGUCCAUCUCACACCGAUAAAUCUUUUCCAACCAGAGCAUGCGCCCCUGUUGGCUUAUGCGGUAUUAGCGGUCGUUUCCAACUGUUAUCCCCCUGUGUGAGGCAGGUUACCCCACGCGUUACUCACCCGUCCGCCA